RNAcentral lists this unclassified non-coding RNA (383 nucleotides) under uncultured fungus. RNAcentral describes it as "sequence contains ITS1". The stretch from base 1 to 106 matches the Rfam family "5.8S ribosomal RNA", at positions 49 to 154 of the family's 154-position model. Lineage: Eukaryota; Fungi. The record is from RNAcentral.
UGAAAUGCGAAAAGUAAUGCGAUUUGCAUGAAUCUGUGAGUCAUCAAGUCUUUGAACGCACCUUGCACCGUAUGAGCAAUCGUACGGUAUACCUGUUUGAGAAUCGUAAAACUCUCUCUCCACCAGUUGGUGGGGAUGGAUUUGUCGGUUGUGCGAGCCUUGUGCUCGUACUCUGAUCAAAAGUAGUAGGUUUGGAUCAGGCUAGUGGCCUGGGACAUUGUGUGCUAGAGACGCUGCUUUAAUUAGUUAGUCUUCUCACAAUGCGUCCUGGGCCCUUUGAAAGCUAGCUCUGAUUGGCGACCUCUUCAGUGAACUGGGUGCAAACCCGGGACACAACCCCCCUUUUUGAUCUCAAAUCAGGUAAGGCUACCCGCUGAACUUAA